GCGCGGGUGGCGGAAUGGUAGACGCGCUGGCUUCAGGUGCCAGUGUCCGCAAGGGCGUGGGGGUUCGACUCCCCCCUCGCGCACCA
RNAcentral lists this transfer RNA (86 nucleotides) under Aeromicrobium terrae. RNAcentral's name for it is "Aeromicrobium sp. CC-CFT486 tRNA-Leu". It matches the Rfam family "tRNA". From Rfam's summary of the family: Transfer RNA (tRNA) molecules are approximately 80 nucleotides in length. Their secondary structure includes four short double-helical elements and three loops (D, anti-codon, and T loops). The record is from RNAcentral. Lineage: Bacteria; Bacillati; Actinomycetota; Actinomycetes; Propionibacteriales; Nocardioidaceae.